RNAcentral lists this unclassified non-coding RNA (277 nucleotides) under Hevea brasiliensis (rubber tree). Lineage: Eukaryota; Viridiplantae; Streptophyta; Magnoliopsida; Malpighiales; Euphorbiaceae. The record is from RNAcentral.
GGUAAAAUAACAGAAAGGAAACAGUAGUCUACUUUCCUAUAUCAUUCACAUAUAUCCAAGUAAGCGCUGUGCUUCAUUUCUUCAUGGAUCAUUGAGCUCCAAAAAAAUAAUAGAAAAAAAGAUUCUCUUCUUGAGACUUGUUUCUGGUCCAAAGAAGAGAAACAUAUAAAAUGGAAGAAGAGAAAAGAAGGGAAUGUAGAGGGAAAUAUAUUAGAUAGAGAAGAGAAGACGUAGACAAAACAGUGGCUCACUUGAGCAUUUAAUCUGCUGCCAUGGU